This 253-nucleotide ribosomal RNA is filed under the name uncultured bacterium. RNAcentral's name for it is "partial 16S ribosomal RNA". It matches the Rfam family "Bacterial small subunit ribosomal RNA", at positions 524 to 776 of the family's 1533-position model. The record is from RNAcentral.
UACAGGGGGUGCAAACGUUGCUCGGAAUUAUUGGGCGUAAAGCGCGCGUAGGCGGCUACUUAAGUCGGAUGUGAAAGCCCCUGGCUCAACUGGGGAAGUGCACCCGAAACUGAGUGGCUUGAGUGCGAAAGAGGGUCGCGGAAUUCCCGGUGUAGAGGUGAAAUUCGUAGAUAUCGGGAGGAACACCGGUGGCGAAGGCGGCGACCUGGGUCGACACUGACGCUGAGGCGCGAAAGCGCGGGGAGCAAACAGG